Molecule: ribosomal RNA, 1375 nt
Filed under: uncultured Staphylococcus sp.
Lineage: Bacteria; Bacillati; Bacillota; Bacilli; Caryophanales; Staphylococcaceae
Description: bacterial SSU rRNA
Rfam family: Bacterial small subunit ribosomal RNA
Source: RNAcentral
GGAUGAACGCUGGCGGCGUGCCUAAUACAUGCAAGUCGAGCGAACAGAUGAGGAGCUUGCUCCUUUGACGUUAGCGGCGGACGGGUGAGUAACACGUGGGUAACCUACCUAUAAGACUGGGAUAACUUCGGGAAACCGGAGCUAAUACCGGAUAAUAUUUCGGACCGCAUGGUUCGAUAGUGAAAGAUGGUUUUGCUAUCACUUAUAGAUGGACCCGCGCCGUAUUAGCUAGUUGGUAAGGUAACGGCUUACCAAGGCGACGAUACGUAGCCGACCUGAGAGGGUGAUCGGCCACACUGGAACUGAGACACGGUCCAGACUCCUACGGGAGGCAGCAGUAGGGAAUCUUCCGCAAUGGGCGAAAGCCUGACGGAGCAACGCCGCGUGAGUGAUGAAGGUCUUCGGAUCGUAAAACUCUGUUAUUAGGGAAGAACAUACGUGUAAGUAACUGUGCACGUCUUGACGGUACCUAAUCAGAAAGCCACGGUUAACUACGUGCCAGCAGCCGCGGUAAUACGUAGGUGGCAAGCGUUAUCCGGAAUUAUUGGGCGUAAAGCGCGCGUAGGCGGUUUUUUAAGUCUGAUGUGAAAGCCCGCGGCUCAACCGUGGAGGGUCAUUGGAAACUGGAAAACUUGAGUGCAGAAGAGGAAAGUGGAAUUCCAUGUGUAGCGGUGAAAUGCGCAGAGAUAUGGAGGAACACCAGUGGCGAAGGCGACUUUCUGGUCUGUAACUGACGCUGAUGUGCGAAAGCGUGGGGAUCAAACAGGAUUAGAUACCCUGGUAGUCCACGCCGUAAACGAUGAGUGCUAAGUGUUAGGGGGUUUCCGCCCCUUAGUGCUGCAGCUAACGCAUUAAGCACUCCGCCUGGGGAGUACGACCGCAAGGUUGAGACUCAAAGGAAUUGACGGGGACCCGCACAAGCGGUGGAGCAUGUGGUUUAAUUCGAAGCAACGCGAAGAACCUUACCAAAUCUUGACAUCCUUUGACAACUCUAGAGAUAGAGCCUUCCCCUUCGGGGGACAAAGUGGCAGGUGGUGCAUGGUUGUCGUCAGCUCGUGUCGUGAGAUGUUGGGUUAAGUCCCGCAACGAGCGCAACCCUUAAGCUUAGUUGCCAUCAUUAAGUUGGGCACUCUAAGUUGACUGCCGGUGACAAACCGGAGGAAGGUGGGGAUGACGUCAAAUCAUCAUGCCCCUUAUGAUUUGGGCUACACACGUGCUACAAUGGACAAUACAAAGGGCAGCGAAACCGCGAGGUCAAGCAAAUCCCAUAAAGUUGUUCUCAGUUCGGAUUGUAGUCUGCAACUCGACUACAUGAAGCUGGAAUCGCUAGUAAUCGUAGAUCAGCAUGCUACGGUGAAUACGUUCCCGGGUCUUG